Onychostoma macrolepis is the source of this 1290-nucleotide long non-coding RNA. RefSeq lists it as uncharacterized. Lineage: Eukaryota; Metazoa; Chordata; Actinopteri; Cypriniformes; Cyprinidae. The record is from RefSeq and is a predicted model, not a curated record. The transcript is spliced from 4 exons.
CAAAGAUUAAAUUUAAACAAUACUACACUUAAUUAAAAUUUCUGUUAUCAUUUUAUCAUAUUUUAUUUAUCUUGUUUUCAUGGGUUACAUACUAUGCUGUCAGGUCACUGCCUGAUCUGGGCCACAUGAUCACCGGACUGAUCUGGGCCACACCUCCCACCAACAAUCGGCCCUCAUAUUGUUUGCCGUGAUCCACGCCGUGCCAUCAUUGCCACACACGGCCCAGCUCUGGCUGAAUGGGUACAUGUAUGGAGUCAAUUUAAUGCCGCAUAUCACUCUAAAAACGUUGGGUUAUUUACUGUACCCAAUAUCUGGGUUAUGCAUGUUGGGUCACUUUGUUGGGUUAUUCCUGUGUUUAUUGGGUUAUUUCAACAACAACGCAACCAGUUGGGUUAAAAUUUAAAUUCCAACGGUCGAUUGGUGCAGCUGCGACAGAUGAUACAGUGGUAAAUUAAUAUGUGUGCGUAAUGUUUUUCGUUACAAGGUGUCUUCAUGCCCUGACACAAUAAUAUUUCUGUUUUUCCUACGAGUUUGUUUACAUCUCCCCUGUUGACUGAAACUUUAAUCCGUUUUUUCUGCACUCUUGUCUUGACUAACGACACCAGCGCUUGUAGCAGAUCGAUUUCAAACGUAUAAAAAAUGGUUUCCUUACUUUUUCUGUUAGUCUCGACAAUUUUGGGGGAUUUUUUUUUUUUACAGACAUUUCAGAUAUUAGGCAGAAGCGCUCACCUUGAAGACCAGCGGAGCCUCUUUCGUGGUGUCGUGUCCUCUGAGUGAAGAGGGCGCUGCGAGCUACACUGAUUACACGCGCCGCUUCUUCAGCCACGAAGAACUGAACAUGGAAGAGAGUGGGGCAUUGUUAUCAUCAAUUAUCAAAAGAUACCGUUAUCGGUUUCAAGUUGGUCUUGGAGAUUGCAUUAAAGUUGCAGUAAAACCCUGCCAGAUAUCCUCCUUCAUUGCCAUACAAAGUAGGUUGGAACAAAUUUCAUUCUGUAUUUGGAGGAGGAGGAGCAACCAAGGCAAUUCCCUCAUAAUCAAGCCUUCAUUAUUGUGGGAGAAAUGGCACUGAAGCAAGGCCGUCUUUUUUACAAGCAGUUGAUACAUGCUUUAAAUUAUUUUACAUUUUGAACAUUGAGUAUCCCAAACCUGUUGCAGCUGUAAUUGCAUUGUCUGUACUAGCUUUGUUCUGUUUGUUUGUUUGUGAAUUUAUAUUUAUCUUGUAAACUGAAACAAUUGCAUAUAACCUAAUGUGAUAAGGAAAUAAUUAAUAACACAAUUUCAACCAGUCAU